RNAcentral lists this long non-coding RNA (1650 nucleotides) under Zostera marina. Its description in RNAcentral is "long non-coding RNA (ZMAR_LNC005728)". Lineage: Eukaryota; Viridiplantae; Streptophyta; Magnoliopsida; Alismatales; Zosteraceae. The record is from RNAcentral.
UACCAUUCACAUACAAAUAUCAUUCAAACAUACAAAUAUUGUCCAUAUUGUCAUACAAAAAUACCAUUCAAUACAUACAAAUAUUGUCAAAUACAAACAUUCAACACAAACCUAUUGCCAACAUCCAACACAAACCUAUUGCCAACAUACAAAUAUUCAAAAGCAUUCAAAUAACAUAAAAUAAAAUCGAGAAACCUAUUUGUUGGUGUCAGUCACGCUAUUAUAAGUCGCGUUGUUGCCAACAUUUUCAAUAUUCGAAUCUCUUGUAAUUGACGUGAUUAGAAAAAAACAAUGAAGAAGAAAAACAGGGAGCUUUGAAGGUGAUGAUUUCUGGAUCUACUGUGAUACUUGCCGAUCGAUUUUAAUUUCUGUAAAGAUUUUAAAUAAUUUAAUUUCACAAUAAAUGGAAAACAGUGAACUAGUUGAAAUUUUAAUUUAGGGAAAUGGAAACCCAAAGAAAUUUGAAAUGGAAAAACCUUGAAAUGGAAAACAUAAAUUGAUAUUGAUUAAAAAAUGAAAAAAUUUGAGAACCCAAAGAUGGGUUGUGGAGUCUAAUCUGAGUUUCAAAAAGCGAAGUCGUCGACGUUCGCCGGAUGGAAGCCUAACCUUGCCGGACUGGUAUUCUGAAAAUGCUACAAAACUAUAUAUGGAAUAAUCUAAAAAAGAAAUUCGAUGUCCCAAAUGGAACACUCCUCUUCGCACUCAAGAAAAGAAUAGAAAACUACCGUCAAGGAUACGAUUCUAUCAUAAACUACUACAAUAAAAUUACAAGACUCUGGUGUGAAUAUCCUUGUAUGGUGGACUUUUCGGGACGAAAUUUCCCCACAAAUUAUGUACAUAGAUCAAAGUUCAUAGAUUACUCCCCACUGCACAAAGGCUACUCCUGCCUGCAUCAAUAUGUCGACUGAGAAGAUCAGGGGCAGAUUUUGAAUAUAAUUAUCUAAAAUGACUUGGUGUUCAAAACUAACCACCAAGCCUAUUUCUUAGGUGGUUAAAGUGUGUUAUUAAUUUUUUUUUCUGAUUUGCCACUCGUUAAAAUAAUUUCGAGAUUAACCUCACAAUAAAUACAUGUUAACCCACACGUUGACCCGUUAUAUCAUACCUAGAUAAAUGUUACCUGAUGUCCAAUAACCCGGCUCACAUAUUCGAUUACCCGUCUAAACACUUAGGUAUAAAUUAUACCGACAGACAGUAGCACUGAUGAGGCCGGGAUCGAGAAUAUGGAGACAUUGUCGGUCGGUAAAAAUUCAGAGGUAAAAAAAUCGGAUUAGAAGAAGAUAUCAGAGGUAGCACUCAAACUUGGAACAAGAAGAAAUCGUAGGUAAAAAAUCGGAGAAGAAUAAAUCCGAGGUAGCACUGAAAGUAAGAAAUUCGAGGAAGAAAAACUUGGAAGAAGAAGAAGAAAUCGAAGGUAGGUAAAAAAUCAGGGUGACAUACCUUAUAUCCUCCAUGACCAUAACAACUUCAUGAUCCAUGAAAUGAGGAAUGAUGAAAACUUCGGGGGUGAUCGAGGAGGUGAAGACGCACGAUAGGGGUGAUGGAAAGAACGAUGGAUGAAAAGAUGAGUUUUUGCCCGUUAUUUUAGUAGAUGACAUUUCCGUAACUUUGCUUUAAUUAUAAGGGUAAAAUCGUCUCAAAAUUUAUAGGUGA